RNAcentral lists this transfer RNA (76 nucleotides) under Escherichia coli. RNAcentral describes it as "tRNA-Ala". It matches the Rfam family "tRNA". From Rfam's summary of the family: Transfer RNA (tRNA) molecules are approximately 80 nucleotides in length. Their secondary structure includes four short double-helical elements and three loops (D, anti-codon, and T loops). The record is from RNAcentral. Lineage: Bacteria; Pseudomonadati; Pseudomonadota; Gammaproteobacteria; Enterobacterales; Enterobacteriaceae. RNAcentral also lists the same sequence under 94 other names.
GGGGCUGUAGCUCAGUUGGGAGAGCGCCUGCCUUGCAAGCAGGAGGUCAUCGGUUCGAUCCCGUUCAGCUCCACCA